GACAGAGGGUGCAAACGUUGUUCGGAAUUACUGGGCGUAAAGCGCGUGUAGGCGGCAGGGCAAGUCGGAUGUGAAAGCCCACGGCUCAACCGUGGAAGUGCACCCGAAACUGCCCCGCUAGAGUCUCGGAGAGGAAGGUGGAAUGCUUGGUGUAGAGGUGAAAUUCGUAGAUAUCAAGCGGAACUCCGGUGGCGAAGGCGGCGUGCUGGACCCCAUCUGACGCUGAGGCGCGAAAGCCAGGGGAGCAAACGGG
Molecule: ribosomal RNA, 253 nt
Filed under: uncultured bacterium
Lineage: Bacteria
Description: partial 16S ribosomal RNA
Rfam family: Bacterial small subunit ribosomal RNA
Source: RNAcentral